RNAcentral lists this ribosomal RNA (446 nucleotides) under uncultured bacterium. RNAcentral's name for it is "partial 16S ribosomal RNA". It matches the Rfam family "Bacterial small subunit ribosomal RNA", at positions 338 to 795 of the family's 1533-position model. The record is from RNAcentral.
CCUACGGGGGGCUGCAGUCGAGAAUCAUUCACAAUGGGGGAAACCCUGAUGGUGCGACGCCGCGUGGGGGAAUGAAGGUCUUCGGAUUGUAAACCCCUGUCAUGUGGGAGCAAAUUAAAAAGAUAGUACCACAAUAGGAAGAGACGGCUAACUCUGUGCCAGCAGCCGCGGUAAUACAGAGGUCUCAAGCGUUGUUCGGAAUCACUGGGCGUAAAGGGUGCGUAGGCUGUUUCGUAAGUCGUGUGUGAAAGGCGCGGGCUCAACCCGCGGACGGCACAUGAUACUGCGAGACUAGAGUAAUGGAGGGGGAACCGGAAUUCUUGGUGUAGCAGUGAAAUGCGUAGAUAUCGAGAGGAACACUCGUGGCGAAGGCGGGUUCCUGGACAUUAACUGACGCUGAGGCACGAAGGCCAGGGGAGCGAAAGGGAUUAGAUACCCGUGUAGUC